CACACACACACACACACACACACACAAAACACGUCGGACGGCAAAGAGGAGCUACAAAUGCCUGAGGAUUCAGCUUUAGAGGAUCAACACACAUUUUCCUUUAAAAAUAUAUAAGUAUUAUAAGGUUUUUCCUCUCUCUUUCUCUCUCUCGCUCUCUUUUAAGAAAAUGUACUACGUAGAAUUGCUUUUCUUCUUCCCAUCCCCCCCUUCAAAACCUCAAGCAAACUCGAGGAAUCAUGCCAAAAGUCCCGUUGCUAGUUACCAAGUGCAUUUUUUUAAACGUCCCUUUGAUACUUCUUUCCCUCAUGCUUGCUGUGGAAUAUGCAAGUGAGAUAAUCUUUCCAUUACUUAGAAAAGCAAUUAAAAACAACUUUCAGUUGAACUUUCCUUUUUAUUGAGGGGGCAAAAGAAGGGGGGGAGGGGAGAAGAGGGAGAAUAUUUUUUCCUCUUCCCAGAACCCAACAUUUGGCUUUUUCCAUUUGUGGCAGAUCACUGUAACUCUAUUGUAAAACAACUUCCUGCCCCUUUUGGCUCAAGUUCCAGAAGCUGCUAGGCUAAGUUCAUAGCACAAACUUUUUUUCUCCUUGCCGAAGAAGCAAGACAAAAAAAUCCUUGCUAAUUAUUUUGCCCUCUUUUUUGCAAAUGGAUUCAUAAGAUGAAUUUAUUGCAGUCCCCUUAACAAUGUUACAAAAGAGACGUCCGUAUACCAGCUGGAUAAUUCAUAAAUUUAAAAGGUGGGGUUAUUAUAUAUAUUUUUUAAAUUAUUAUUUUAAAUUGUAAGUCUUAACAUCAGCACUGAUAACAUGCUAAGCUGCUUCAUCUACUGUAUUUAAUUUGUAUAUCUAUCAUAACUCAGAUCGCUGGCUUAGUAUAUGUAGCCCCCCCGCCUCUACUUUUCAUCUGCUUUUACACUCUAAACUAAUCUGUACCUCUCCUCUUCACUCUCCCCACCCCUCAAUUUAUCCUAAUGAAAAUACCCAUCCAAAACCUCCCUCUCCCUGCUAAAAACUAGAUGUUUGCAGUUCUCUGGUGCAACCAAAAGGUAAAAAAUAAGGCCUCCACAACUUGCUCUCUCACUCUCUCUCUCUCUCUCUCUGUUUCUCUCAUAGCAACAGCAUUUCCUGGUACGCCUGCUUUGGCAUCCAUCAGCAUUUUUACCCGUCCAAGUGUCCUUUUGCGUCACAUCUCGCCAUUUCAGUCAACCAAUGAAUUCUCCCUGUUGUAAUAAUAUAUGUGUGUGUGUGUGUGUGUGUGUGUGUGUGUGUGUAUCUAUAUCUAUAUAUUCUGUUAUUAGUAUGUUCAAAAAAUGUUUUAUAUGCUUUCCUUCCAAAAAUGCUGUCAAAUUGUUCGAUUUGCCCUACCAUGGGGGAAAAAAGAGAUCUUACACUAUUCAACCUGAGGGUGUCCUCCUCCUGAAAGAAUUUUACCAUAAGAAAAAAGGGGUUAGGUGAUUAGUUAAGGAAAGCCAUAGUUGUCACUCUGAUUUAAUAUUUAUUCUGCUUAUGCCAUCAUCUCUAUCAUGGCUGGACUUUAAACCAGCUAUGAGGUUUCAUGUAAUUAGAAGUCUAUACAAUAUAUUUCAAUGGUCUUAUGAAAUACUCCUGAUAAAAAUAUUUAAUGAAGUUUUGUUCCUUAAAAUGUGGAUUAGGAAAUAGUGUCAGGAAAAGAAAUAUGAUGAAAAAAAGAAAGCUGAGAUGUAACAUUUUAUUCCCUUGCAACAAUCGGUUUCCCUCCCCAGAGACUUCUCUCCAGCCUUCUCUGAAAAACUCACUAUCCUGCAAAAUGGACUAAAGUGAGAGUAACUACUCAAGGGACCAACAAAAGUCAGUUGCAUAAUACUGCUGGCCCUCAAAAUAAAGAUUUCAGUGAUGAAUGGAGAAUAUCAUACAGAAGAAACAGAUGAAUGUGGGUAACAGAACAUAAUAUACAUCUUUCAAAUGUAUGAAAUAUUUUUUUCUAAAGGAAAUAUUAUAGCAUUAUAUUAAAUAUUAUAAAUUAGCUGAAAUAAAUUUCACAAUGAUCACUGGUCACAUUAAGCAGCUAAAAUGAUACAUCAGGUUCUGCUUUCAAACUGCGAGUAAAUCAAGAAUAACCUUUUGAAGUCAAACAGAGUCAUAUUGCUGUAAAACCAAUGCAAGUGAGAGAAGAAUCUAGUCCACUUAUACACCGGCUUUUACAUUUUACAUCAUCAUCAACUCCAUUUUACAUGAUCCUUCACUAUUUAGGGAGUUCAGUGGGUGAUUUGACAAAGUAAGGACAGUACCUUUGUAUGGUAUAUCCCGUACAUGUUGAGGAUGUCAUGGGCAUAAGGUGAUAAAAUCUGCUGGAGUACGCUGUCACAUUUCUUUGCAAGAUGAAAAACUGUGCAUAUUUUGAGAUAAGGUCUCUGCCCCAAAUGUCCAGAUUUAGUAUCUCAGUUACCAUAUUUUAGGAUUCACUUUUUAGACAAAUUUAGUAACUUUCUCUUAUCUAAUAAUCUCUGAUUAGAAAAUUAAGAUUAGCAAAUUCAGAAAAUAAUGUUAAAAUAAUUGCAAAUUCUUUACUGCCACUUAAAAUGUGAACUGAUGUAAGAUUUUCAAAUCAGAGAAAUAAAGCACUUGCAGAUGUUAUACUGGAAUUAAUUGAACAAUGUAUUUUUGCCAGGACAAAGCUAAUCACAGUGAAAAAGGAGUAAUUACAUACAUAUUGGUAAAUGAAAGGGUUAAUCAAUUUUGUUAAUUUGUAUUUUAUUGUUUGGUAUAAGUACAAAUAUUGAAGAGUUUUAUAUGAAGUAAACAUGAUACUCUGCCAUUCUAUGCCAGCACGUGCCUAAAUUAGUUCUCCAUUUUGUGGUGGCCCUUUGAGAGCAAUUCCUAUUGAGAAGUGAACAAAGGCCAUGACCCCUGGGUCAGAGUGUAAUGCAGGAAGCAUGACCUUCUCUUUGUUCAGAACAGCACUAUUUACUUUGCCUAAGUAAAGAUCACCAAUACAUUAACUAAAGAGGAUUAAAAAGGUCAUAUCCCUAGGGAUGUAGCUCAGGCAAGUGGCAACUCUCUUUAAUCACCAAAUCAUUUGACUUAAAAAAAAAUACAGGAAUACCUUAUUCACUUUAGAUUCAAUAAGAUACCAUUUUAAAAGCAACAAAUACAUUUUUUUAAAAUCUAAAAAAAUCUCCUUUUAAAUAUGUGCAUCUCUGCGCUAUUAGCAGAUACAAUUUUUUUAUUUUUAAAAGAGCCAAACGUAUUUUAAAUAAAAAUAUAAUUUUCCUCCAUUAUCUUUUGAUAGGUUCUGAAUUGAUUUGUAAAA
Chrysemys picta bellii (western painted turtle) is the source of this 3285-nucleotide non-coding RNA. NCBI's taxonomy places the organism in Eukaryota, Metazoa, Chordata, Testudines, Emydidae. The record is from RefSeq and is a predicted model, not a curated record.